AGAGCAGACAGCUGCAGUCUGGUGAACAUGCCCAGCCACUGUGUUUGGCACAGUCUCAAAGGCCACAUUUCUGCAUAGACAUGUGGAAUGCGAAUGGGUGUUCCCCAGCUCCCAGAUUUGGAAUCAAGGGGAGAAAUUCACGAUACCUCAGAACUGACGGUGACUGGUCAGGGGAUUCAGCUGGAUGAGCUGGUGGUGUGGAAGCAGCCUUGCAAGGAGCUUACGGUGUCCCCAACCUGGUUUUACCAGCAUUACCUUUGCUACAGCUAGAACUCAUC
Molecule: long non-coding RNA, 278 nt
Organism: Strigops habroptila (Kakapo)
Lineage: Eukaryota; Metazoa; Chordata; Aves; Psittaciformes; Psittacidae
Exons: 3
Source: RefSeq, a predicted model, not a curated record